AGAGCGAACGCUGGCGGCAGGCCUAACACAUGCAAGUCGAGCGCCCCCGCAAGGGGAGCGGCAGACGGGAGAGUAACACGUGGGAACGUACCCUUCAGUUCGGAACAACCCAGGGAAACUUGGGCUAAUACCGAAUACGUCCGUAAGGAGAAAGAUUUAUCGCUGAAGGAUCGGCCCGCGUCUGAUUAGCUUGUUGGUGAGGUAACGGCUCACCAAGGCUACGAUCAGUAGCUGGUCUGAGAGGAUGAUCAGCCUCACUGGGACUGAGACACGGCCCAGACUCCUACGGGAGGCAGCAGUGGGGAAUAUUGGACAAUGGGCGCAAGCCUGAUCCAGCCAUGCCGCGUGGAUGAUGAAGGCCUUAGGGUUGUAAAGUCCUUUCGACGGGGAAGAUAAUGACGGUACCCGUAGAAGAAGCCCGGCUAACUUCGUGCCAGCAGCCGC
This 444-nucleotide ribosomal RNA is filed under the name uncultured bacterium. RNAcentral's name for it is "SSU rRNA". It matches the Rfam family "Bacterial small subunit ribosomal RNA", at positions 26 to 518 of the family's 1533-position model. The record is from RNAcentral.